ACACCUUCAUCAGGUUCCACUCAGCACCAUCACAUGUUCAGUCUAAAGUACUGCGUCUAGUUACACCUUCAUCAGGUUCCACUCAGCACCAUCACAUGUUCAGUCUAAAGUACUGCGUCUAGUUACACCUUCAUCAGGUUCCACUCAGCACCAUCACAUGUUCAGUCUAAAGUACUGCGUCUAGUUACACCUUCAUCAGGUUCCACUCAGCACCAUCACAUGUUCAGUCUAAAGUACUGCGUCUAGUUACACCUUCAUCAGGUUCCACUCAGCACCAUCACAUGUUCAGUGUAAAGUACUGCGUCUAGUUACACCUUCAUCAGGUUCCACUCAGCACCAUCACAUGUUCAGUCUAAAGUACUGCGUCUAGUUACACCUUCAUCAGGUUCCACUCAGCACCAUCACAUGUUCAGUGUAAAGUACUGCGUCUAGUUACACCUUCAUCAGGUUCCACUCAGCACCAUCACAUGUUCAGUCUAAAGUACUGCGUCUAGUUACACCUUCAUCAGGUUCCACUCAGCACCAUCACAUGUUCAGUCUAAAGUACUGCGUCUAGUUACACCUUCAUCAGGUUCCACUCAGCACCAUCACAUGUUCAGUCUAAAGUACUGCGUCUAGUUACACCUUCAUCAGGUUCCACUCAGCACCAUCACAUGUUCAGUCUAAAGUACUGCGUCUAGUUACACCUUCAUCAGGUUCCACUCAGCACCAUCACAUGUUCAGUCUAAAGUACUGCGUCUAGUUACACCUUCAUCAGGUUCCACUCAGCACCAUCACAUGUUCAGUCUAAAGUACUGCGACUCUGUUCCAAUCUCCAUACAAACAUACCAAUUCAAAUGAAGCAAUGUAUUGGGGAAAUGGUCCGAUUUUGCUGUUUUUUCCCCCAGUGUCUAAACUUCCUGCCAAAACUUCCCAUAAUAAGAACAUUGAGCAUUGGU
Oncorhynchus keta (chum salmon) is the source of this 938-nucleotide long non-coding RNA. RefSeq lists it as uncharacterized. The record is from RefSeq and is a predicted model, not a curated record. Lineage: Eukaryota; Metazoa; Chordata; Actinopteri; Salmoniformes; Salmonidae. The transcript is spliced from 3 exons.